This 428-nucleotide ribosomal RNA is filed under the name uncultured bacterium. Its description in RNAcentral is "bacterial SSU rRNA". It matches the Rfam family "Bacterial small subunit ribosomal RNA", at positions 29 to 490 of the family's 1533-position model. The record is from RNAcentral.
AACGAACGCUGGCGGCAUGCCUAACACAUGCAAGUCGAACGGGAUCCUAGCUUGCUAGGUGAGAGUGGCGGACGGGUGAGUAACGCGUGGGAAUCUGCCUUUUGGUUCGGGAUAACCGCGGGAAACUGCGGCUAAUACCGAAUGCCCUCGUGAGAGGAAAGAUUUAUCGCCAGAAGAGGAGCCCGCGUCCGAUUAGGUAGUUGGUGGGGUAAAGGCCUACCAAGCCGACGAUCGGUAGCUGGUCUGAGAGGAUGAUCAGCCACACUGGGACUGAGAUACGGCCCAGACUCCUACGGGAGGCAGCAGUGGGGAAUAUUGGACAAUGGGGCGAACCCUGAUCCAGCAAUGCCGCGUGAGUGAUGAAGGCCUUAGGGGUUGUAAAGGACUCUUUUUGCCAGGGAAGAUGAUGACUGUACCUGGAGAAUAAG